UAUUUUAAUGUGCUGUAUAUUUGAACUUUAGACUCUUUUUUCAAGUAGGUUCUGCCUAAGACUCAGAACCAACUUGACAAACCGGUUUGUUUUUCUCAUGCAAAUGUUCUCUUAAGCUAUGUUAAUGAAACUGUAUUUGCUUGGAAAACUGCCUUUCUUCAAGAUUCUUGUCAAUAAUUUUGUGGCCCUAGACAACUCACCUGGUUCCAAGGUUAUCUCAAAAUGCAUGUUGUGGAUGAGGGGCCUU
Long non-coding RNA from Cervus elaphus (red deer), 247 nucleotides. RefSeq lists it as uncharacterized. NCBI's taxonomy places the organism in Eukaryota, Metazoa, Chordata, Mammalia, Artiodactyla, Cervidae. The record is from RefSeq and is a predicted model, not a curated record. The transcript has 3 exons.